AUGGCCGCGGUAUUUUGACCGUGCAAAGGUAGCAUAAUCAUUAGUUUUUUAAUUGAAAGCUGGAAUGAAUGGUUGGACAAGAAAAUUUCUGUCUCUAUCUAAUUUUUAGAAUUUUAUUUUUUAGUCAAAAAGCUUAAAUUUUUUUAAGGGACGAGAAGACCCUAUAGAAUUUUACAAAUUUGUUUAUUUUUAAUUUUUAGUUUUAUUAUUGGAAAUUAGGUUGAAUUUGUUUAGUUGGGGUGAUUGGAAAAUUUGGAAAACUUUUUUUGAAUUUAAAUCAUUGGUAUAUGAUUAAUUGAUCCAUUAGUUAUGAUUAUAAGAUUAAAUUACCUUAGGGAUAACAGC
This 345-nucleotide ribosomal RNA is filed under the name Colophon montisatris. RNAcentral describes it as "partial 16S ribosomal RNA". Lineage: Eukaryota; Metazoa; Arthropoda; Insecta; Coleoptera; Lucanidae. The record is from RNAcentral.